Podarcis lilfordi (Lilford's wall lizard) is the source of this 66-nucleotide non-coding RNA. The record is from the annotation of a GenBank genome assembly. NCBI's taxonomy places the organism in Eukaryota, Metazoa, Chordata, Lepidosauria, Squamata, Lacertidae.
GCAGAUCAGUGGUAGAGCAUCUGCUUCGCAUGCAGAAGGUCCCAGGUUCAAUCCCCGACAUCUCCA